Molecule: ribosomal RNA, 381 nt
Filed under: uncultured eukaryote
Lineage: Eukaryota
Description: partial 18S ribosomal RNA
Rfam family: Eukaryotic small subunit ribosomal RNA
Source: RNAcentral
CAAUAGCGUAUAUUAAAGUUGUUGCAGUUAAAAAGCUCGUAGUUGGAUUUCUGACCAAAACUUCCGGUCCUGCGCUGUGCGUUGUGAACUGUGUAAGUUUUGGUCAUCCUUGUGGGGAAUUCAGUUUGACAUUAAGUUGUCGGCUGGUGGAACCACAUCGUUUACUGUGAAAAAAUUAGAGUGUUCAAAGCAGGCUUAGGCUGUGAAUACAUUAGCAUGGAAUAAUAAGAUAGGACUUUGGUUCUAUUUUGUUGGUUGGAGGCCAAGGUAAUGAUUAAUAGGGAUAGUUGGGGGUAUUCAUAUUUAAUUGUCAGAGGUGAAAUUCUUGGAUUUAUGAAAGAUGAACUUAUGCGAAAGCAUUUACCAAGGAUGUUUUCAUUA